CUUAAAUAUAAGUGCCAGGUCAUUUUGACUCCUUUAAAGAACAUUUUGUUUUGUUUAGUUUUUUCACACAGAGUUUGCUCCACAACACCUUUAUUUCAUGUGUAGUUCUUGUAAAAUCAUUAGCAUCACUGCAUCUCCUAGCUAAGUUUUACUAUGAUUCCCUCUUAAGGCUUGUAUUCCAUUUGAUCCUAUUUCAUUAUUUCCUCAAAGUAUGUCCUACAUUUAGCCAUCUCUUAACUCAUCCACAAGACUCUGGCCACAGACUACCCUGAUCAAUCACAUAAGUGGAAACUGAAAAAUGGAUGGAGAAGUGAGGUUUUAUUGAAGGAUAGAAUGAACUU
Molecule: long non-coding RNA, 341 nt
Filed under: Bos taurus (domestic cattle)
Lineage: Eukaryota; Metazoa; Chordata; Mammalia; Artiodactyla; Bovidae
Description: long non-coding RNA NONBTAT000312
Source: RNAcentral